CCCUGCUCCACAGCUUCUGAUUUAAUUAAAACAAGACAGAUGGAGUGCAGCGCGUUAGUCUGUGUUCACCUGGGUUUUCUUUGUCAUCUCAGGAAAGCGAAGGAAGAAAGGGAGAGUGUCUGGAAACCAACAUUAAGCAUUAUGGUCAAAAUUUCCUCAACAGGCCUCAAGUAUUGCACAGAGAAGAAUUACAAGACUACCUCUGCAACUCUUCCCAAGCACUAUGAGGAAGGGGACACCACCAUGCCUUUUCCUGACAUAUGUAGAAACCUGCUGGACCCUUGAUACUCCUCAAUUAUAUUCCCCGUAAUCUGCAAGAAUAGUUGUUAUUCUUUCUGUUUGUUGUUGUUGGUGGUGGGGUUUUUUUUGUUUGUUUGUUUUUGUUUUUUUUCUUCUUAAAUAGUUUACUUGCCAGGUAGGCUUAUAAAUAUCCCCAGUGUCUCACUCCUCUAUGAAACACACAUAGAUCUUUAGGCAAGAUGUUUAACAUUGCUGUGCUUCUUUAGCUAUUACACUAGUGCAUGCUAGCUAUAGAAAGAUAUAUAAAGAUCUCAGUUAUCUACCUAGACUAGAACCUCUCUCCCUCACUGAUUUCUCGACAGCUGUGUGAGAGUUAGCAGCAUCCAGACAACUACAACUGGCAUAGAGUAUGUAGGACAAUGAACAUAUUAACAGCGUACAUGUCAGGAAGAGAACCCUGAUGGCUUGUUAGUAUUUUAGACAAACAAUACCAGUAACAAUUGAGUAUAUUUAACAAAGGCCAAACAAAUAGUUCACAACUCAAGGAGAAAAAUAACCUAAGGCUUGUGGCUUUGGUUUGUGUGGAACAGCUCUCUAUUUCUAACUAACACGAUGAGGUCAUACACACUGAGGAUAUACCAGUGACUUUGGCUUAGCUUCUUUUCAAAGCAAGAGAGCAGUCUCCCAG
This 928-nucleotide long non-coding RNA is filed under the name Coturnix japonica (Japanese quail). Its description in RNAcentral is "lncRNA (ENSCJPG00005011635.1)". The record is from RNAcentral. Lineage: Eukaryota; Metazoa; Chordata; Aves; Galliformes; Phasianidae.